UUUCCCCUGCCUUGUUAGUGAUCUGGGAGAGUGUCUCGAGCCAACAUUUAGAUUAAGGGCGACUUUGCUAUUUCUGGAAAGGAAUCCAUUUUGUGGAAUUCCUUAAAAGGAAUACAAGUACCGCCCACCUAACGUAGUUAGGUUCGAUGUCGCUGCCUGACACUUCAAUGGCGGGGGAUUU
RNAcentral lists this non-coding RNA (181 nucleotides) under Bdellovibrionales bacterium. RNAcentral's name for it is "6S RNA". It matches the Rfam family "6S / SsrS RNA". Rfam says of the family: E. coli 6S RNA was the first non coding RNA to be sequenced, but its function was unknown until recently. Lineage: Bacteria; Pseudomonadati; Bdellovibrionota; Bdellovibrionia; Bdellovibrionales. The record is from RNAcentral.